This 497-nucleotide ribosomal RNA is filed under the name uncultured bacterium. RNAcentral describes it as "partial 16S ribosomal RNA". It matches the Rfam family "Bacterial small subunit ribosomal RNA", at positions 28 to 507 of the family's 1533-position model. The record is from RNAcentral.
GACGAACGCUGGCGGCGUGCCUAAUACAUGCAAGUUGAGCGCUGAAGGUUGGUACUUGUACCAACUGGAUGAGCAGCGAACGGGGGAGUAACGCGUGGGGAAUCUGCCUUUGAGCGGGGGACAACAUUUGGAAACGAAUGCUAAUACCGCAUAAAAACUUUAAACACAAGUUUUAAGUUUGAAAGAUGCAAUUGCAUCACUCAAAGAUGAUCCCGCGUUGUAUUAGCUAGUUGGUGAGGUAAAGGCUAACCAAGGCGAUGAUACAUAGCCGACCUGAGAGGGGGAGCGGCCACAUUGGGACUGGGAAACGGCCCAAACUCCUACGGGAGGCAGCAGUAGGGAAUCUUCGGCAAUGGACGAAAGUCUGACCGAGCAACGCCGCGUGAGUGAAGAAGGUUUUCGGAUCGUAAAACUCUGUUGGUAGAGAAGAACGUUGGUGAGAGUGGAAAGCUCAUCAAGUAACGGUAACUACCCAGAAAGGGACGGCUAACUACGUG